Molecule: ribosomal RNA, 1246 nt
Filed under: Prolachesilla sp. PrspLA
Lineage: Eukaryota; Metazoa; Arthropoda; Insecta; Psocodea; Lachesillidae
Description: 16S ribosomal RNA
Source: RNAcentral
AAUAUUUAUUUUUUUGAAUUUUUUUAUUAUUAAUUAAAAAAUUAUUUUAUUUAAAUAAAGUAUUAUUAUUUUUAGUAUUUAAAAAAUUAUUUUGAUUUAUUAAAGUAUAAUGUAUAAAAAUAGAAUUAAAGUUAAAUUAAAAGAAUAAAAAUUUAUUUUUGUACCUUUUGUAUCAGGGUUUAAUAAAAAUAUUUUAUAAUAAAUAUUUCUCGAAUAAUUAAGAUUUAAUUUUUUAUGAUUUUAAUUGUAAAAAAAAUUAAUUUAAUAAAAAAUUGGUAAUGAAAAGUUAAUCGUUUAAUUGGGAUUCUAGUUUUUAAAUAAAUUAAUUUAAUUAAGCUUUAAAUAUUUUUAUAAUUUUUUUUUAUAUUUAUAUAUUUAAAUGUAAAUUAUAAAGAGUUUAUUUUUUAUAAUUUUUAUAUUAUUAUAAUUUAUAAUUUUUUCUAGAUUUAAAAUUUAUAAAUUGAUAAAUAAUUUUUAAAAAAAAAUAAUUAUUAAAAUUUUAUUUUUUUUUUGAUUAAGUGAAUAUUUAAAUAUAAAUUUUAAUUAAUUAAAUUAAUUUAAUAAUAUUAAAAUUAGUAAAUAAAAUGGAAUUUAAAAAUAGUAAUUCAGCAAAUAUAUUUUUCGCCUGUUUAUCAAAAACAUGUCUUUAAGAUUUUUAUUUAAAGUCCAAUCUGCUCACUGAAUAUUUUAAAGAGCCGCAGUAUUUUAACUGUGCAAAGGUAGCAUAAUAAAUAGUUUUUUAAUUGAAAGCUGGAAUGAAAGAUUAGACGAGAAAAUAACUUUCUUUUUCUAAUUUAAUUGAACUUAAAGUUUAAGUUAAAAUUCUUAAAUGAAUUUAAAAGACGAGAAGACCCUAUAGAUUUUUAUUUAAUUUAUUUUUUUUAUAUAAUUUAAUAAUUUUAAUUAAAUUUAAUUGGGGCGAUUUUGUAAAAUAAGUAACUUAAUAAUUUUAAACCAUAAAUAAUUGAAUUUUUUGAUCUAAAAUUUUUAAUUUAUAGAUUAAAUUACCUUAGGGAUAACAGCGUAAUUUUAUUUAAGAGUUCAUAUCUAUAAUAAAGAUUGCGACCUCGAUGUUGAAUUAAGAAAAAUAUAUGAGUAGAAAUUUAUAAUUUUUAGUCUGUUCGACUAUUAAAUUCUUACAUGAUUUGAGUUCAGACCGGCGUGAGCCAGGUCAGUUUCUAUCUUUAAUUUUUUUUUAUAGAUAAGUACGAAAGGACAAUUUAUGAAUAAAAUUUAUUAAUUAUUU